Molecule: long non-coding RNA, 1111 nt
Organism: Monodelphis domestica (gray short-tailed opossum)
Lineage: Eukaryota; Metazoa; Chordata; Mammalia; Didelphimorphia; Didelphidae
Source: RefSeq, a predicted model, not a curated record
GUAGAGCCUGUGAAAAGAAUUAUGUAGCCAGGAGUGGUGCUAACCUGAGCUGGGGAGUCGGGAGGGGGCCAUCAGUCACUCCUUGAUCCCCUGCUGCUCUCCUUAGGAAAAUGGGAAGCCCCAUCAGACCUGGACGCGGCGUGCUUUACAUCUUCUACCGUAAGCAUCAAAGGAUGCGGCCACCUGAUAGAACAAAGGAGAUUCUCUGGUACCAUCUCAGCCCCAGCAUGAGACAGUGGCUACUCAGUUCAGUCUUCUCCCAGUUCACUGCUCAACCGGAGCUGAGGCUGUGGUCGGUACAGUUGACUCCAGGACUCCAGGACCUCCACCUAAAGCCUUCCCAGCUUCCUUCCAGGUUUCUCUACAGUGGACUUCCCCUCCAAAGCCAACUUUUGACCCCAACAUUCUUCCAGUGAAGUUGUACAGCUCCGAGUUAAACGUUUUCAUCGUCUCUGAAGAACUAAAGUUGUGGGAUAUCAAAGGAAGCGUUGGAGAAGUACUUGGUGCUCCCGAGUACGACCAGGGAAGAAGUACACGGGGGAAGUGACCCAAAUGUCUUCCUCAGACAAAUAAGUACCUGAAAAAAGCUGCAAGCUGACUGUGCGGUGAAAGUAAGGGAUAGCCAGUCCUCAGCCUGCGAACUCCAUUGACGUGCACAGUCUAGAUUGAGAUCUGGUGAGUCCCUCUGGAUAUUGGGAAGAUCCCUGUGAGACCACUCAUGGAAGCAUAUAGAGAAGAGUUAUACAGGGUGAAAAAAUGAAGAAGGCUUGUCAUAUGUGCCUCGUGGUGAGAUAUCGAUGGGAAGGAGACCAUCAAGCCACUGGGCAUAUGACAUGAAAGCGUAUGUUCUUAGUUGACCAGACCAUCAUCUCUCUGAGGGUGAGAUCUACCCUGAUCUUUGUAUAUACGCCAUGGUGCCUGGCUGAGACUUAAUGCUCUAUAGUGUGUCUGACAAUUUUUCUGAUGGGCCAGUAAGAAAAUGUUUUAAAAUGAAACACAAUCGCUGAUUAUGAUAUUCUGAAACGACACUUCUUAAUCAUGCAAAUGUUUGUCGUGUUCACUUCCUAUUUUGUUAACCUUCUCUAAAAUAACAAAUUAGCUAUAAAAAUAA